CCCUCUGGGGUGCAGCAGGCCUACACGAGCAGUAUUGGAGACUAUUUGGAUCUGCAUGAGCGGGUGCUCGGCGUGUACGGCCCCGAUGAGCCCGAUGCCCACGACAAUCAAGGCGGCGGCUAUGAGAAAGGGUUAGGCUGGUGGGCACGGCAGCUUAGUGAGGCCGGUUGGCAGGAUGCGGUGGCACGUUAUUCGCCGCACACGGCGACGUGGCUGAUUAUGGAUGGUACCACGCGUCCGCUGAAUUGGUUUGUCUAUGGGCAAUUAGCGGAUGUAAGCUGUUUCGAUCCGUAUCCGGUGACGUAUGACGGCAGCGAUCAUGCUUAUGUGCGGGAGAGC
This 339-nucleotide ribosomal RNA is filed under the name uncultured prokaryote. RNAcentral describes it as "partial 16S ribosomal RNA". The record is from RNAcentral.